Molecule: ribosomal RNA, 270 nt
Filed under: uncultured archaeon
Lineage: Archaea
Description: partial 16S ribosomal RNA
Rfam family: Archaeal small subunit ribosomal RNA
Source: RNAcentral
CAGCUCUCCGAGUGGUAGGGAUGAUUAUUGGGCUUAAAGCGUCCGUAGCCGGCUUAGCAAGUUACCUGUUAAACCCAGCGACUCAAUCGUUGGAUCGCGGGAAAUACUACUAGGCUAGGAGGCGGGAGAGGUCAACGGUACUUCUGGGGUAGGGGUGAAAUCCUAUAAUCCCGGGAGGACCACCAGUGGCGAAGGCUGUUGACUAGAACGCGCUCGACGGUGAGGGACGAAAGCUGGGGGAGCGAACCGGAUUAGAGACCCGCGUAGUCC